RNAcentral lists this ribosomal RNA (157 nucleotides) under Termitomyces bulborhizus. RNAcentral's name for it is "5.8S ribosomal RNA". It matches the Rfam family "5.8S ribosomal RNA". Rfam says of the family: 5.8S ribosomal RNA (5.8S rRNA) is a component of the large subunit of the eukaryotic ribosome. It is transcribed by RNA polymerase I as part of the 45S precursor that also contains 18S and 28S rRNA. Lineage: Eukaryota; Fungi; Basidiomycota; Agaricomycetes; Agaricales; Lyophyllaceae. The record is from RNAcentral.
ACAACUUUCAGCAAUGGAUCUCUUGGCUCUUGCAUCGAUGAAGAACGCAGCGAAAUGCGAUAAGUAAUGUGAAUUGCAGACCCCCAGUGAAUCAUCGAAUCUUUGAACGCACCUUGCGCUCCUUAGUAUUCUGAGGAGCAUGCCUGUUUGAGUGUCA